Long non-coding RNA from Bos indicus x Bos taurus (hybrid cattle), 273 nucleotides. The record is from Ensembl. Lineage: Eukaryota; Metazoa; Chordata; Mammalia; Artiodactyla; Bovidae.
AUGUGUAGUUCUGAAUUGGAGAAAUAUAUUCUACAUAUAUUUCUACAGUGCAAAGAAUGCGCUGAAUCCAAGGAAGAACAGAAAAAGUUAACUGAGUUAUCCAGGGGCAUCUUCCAUCAGAAAAUACCAGAUACAAGUCUCUGGAGGCAAGAUUCUGACAACUUUUAUUCCAUGGAACUGUAAAGGAUCUUGUACCUGCAUAGAUGGCAUAAAAACAGAAUUUCCUCCUCUGUAUAAAAUAAACCCAAAUCUAUUUCCUAGGAAAAAAUUAUU